This 432-nucleotide ribosomal RNA is filed under the name Triticum aestivum (bread wheat). RNAcentral's name for it is "partial small subunit ribosomal RNA". Lineage: Eukaryota; Viridiplantae; Streptophyta; Magnoliopsida; Poales; Poaceae. The record is from RNAcentral.
AUGAGGGGCGGCGGCGGCGGGAUGAUGGACGACGGCGGGGUUGAGCACGCGCAGAUCCCGAACAGCUUCGGCCACGAGCUCCGCGCAUGCCUCCGCUGCCGCCUCGUCAAGACCUACGACCAGUUCAGGGAGAAUGGCUGCGAGAAUUGCCCCUUCCUGGACAUGGACAAAGAUCGCGACAACGUGGUCAGCUGCACCACCGCCAACUUCACUGGCCCAGUGCUUCCUCUUUCUGAAUUUAUUGCACAAAUUUUGGCUUGCAGAAUAAUAUCGCUGAUGGAUCCCAAUAGGAGUUGGGCUGCUCGUUGGUUGAGAAUUGGGAGGUUCAUUCCAGGGUGCUAUACUCUGGCUGUCUCAGAGGAACUUCCAGAGGAGUAUCAGGGGAUGUGCCAAGACAACAACGUGCAGUAUUUCCCUCCGAAGCGCCCCUGA